ACAUCCCUGCUGUUUGCGUGAAUAGCCGUUUAGUUUUUGCCAACACAAAAACUUUGGGAGUUCGGACUUCAUAUAUGACUUGCAAGCCCACCCAUGGGAAACAUAAAGUAUGUGAGAGAACACCCCCCUGCAUUGCAGGUUAAAACUCGCGGCGCCACGGAUCAGUGGGGUUUUU
RNAcentral lists this non-coding RNA (175 nucleotides) under Syntrophomonadaceae bacterium. RNAcentral describes it as "6S RNA". It matches the Rfam family "6S / SsrS RNA". Rfam says of the family: E. coli 6S RNA was the first non coding RNA to be sequenced, but its function was unknown until recently. It consists of 184 nucleotides that fold into an extended hairpin structure with a large single-stranded internal bulge. The record is from RNAcentral. Lineage: Bacteria; Bacillati; Bacillota; Clostridia; Eubacteriales; Syntrophomonadaceae.